CUCUAAUAUUUGUAAUUAUUUGUUUUUUUUCUCCACAGAUAUUUGAGUGUGGCUGUGUAAAAUGAGCAGUCUAGCAGUUUUAAUACGUAACCAUCAAGCGUGAUUGUGUCCUGAAGAUCUACCUCAUUUGAAGAGUCUGUGCAUCUACCUCAAUGAAGACUUAAAGGAAUAUGUGGACUAAAAGUGGCAGAAUCUCAAUGCACACACAACAGUGGAGAUCUUUAUCAUUUGGGCUGAGGAUGCUGGUCCUGGGGACAGACCUACAGAUGUGGGUGUAGAUGUUUUGCAGAACCUGCUGAGUGUCACAUAUAGAUUGGAUGGACUUUUUGGGUUCAUGUACACUUAAAGGGUUUUUUUAACCAGAAAUGAAAACGUUUAAUUAUCCGUGUCGUACCAAACAUUGAUUUGUCUUCGAAGUACAAAUUAAGAUACUUCAGGUGAAA
Danio aesculapii is the source of this 443-nucleotide long non-coding RNA. RefSeq lists it as uncharacterized. The record is from RefSeq and is a predicted model, not a curated record. NCBI's taxonomy places the organism in Eukaryota, Metazoa, Chordata, Actinopteri, Cypriniformes, Danionidae. The transcript has 3 exons.